ACUCCUACGGAAGGCAGCAGUGGGGAAUUUUACGCAAUGGGGGGAAACCCUGACGUAGCGACACCGCGUGAGCGAAGAAGCCCCUUGGGGUGUAAAGCUCUGUCAGCUGGAACGAAAAAAAUGACGGUACCAGCAGAGGAAGCAUCGGCUAACUACGUGCCAGCAGCCGCGGUAAU
This 176-nucleotide ribosomal RNA is filed under the name uncultured bacterium. Its description in RNAcentral is "partial 16S ribosomal RNA". It matches the Rfam family "Bacterial small subunit ribosomal RNA", at positions 335 to 524 of the family's 1533-position model. The record is from RNAcentral.